Non-coding RNA from Xenopus laevis (African clawed frog), 46 nucleotides. Lineage: Eukaryota; Metazoa; Chordata; Amphibia; Anura; Pipidae. The record is from Rfam.
CAAAAGGCCCUUCUAAGGGCCACUCCCCUGUCUUGAAAAGAGCUAU